This 504-nucleotide ribosomal RNA is filed under the name uncultured bacterium. Its description in RNAcentral is "bacterial SSU rRNA". It matches the Rfam family "Bacterial small subunit ribosomal RNA", at positions 28 to 525 of the family's 1533-position model. The record is from RNAcentral.
GACGAACGCUGGCGGCGUGGAUUAGGCAUGCAAGUCGAACGGUAUCAUCCUUUCGGGGGUGAGAGAGUGGCGAACUGGUGAGUAACACGUAGGUUAUCUACCCUCAAGACGGGGACAACCCAGGGAAACUUGGGCUAAUACCGGAUGUGAGCAACUUUUAGUUGUUUGAAAGGUGGCGUAAGCUGUCGCUUGGGGAUGAGCCUGCGUCCUAUUAGUUAGUUGGUGAGGUAACGGCUCACCUAGGCAAUGAUAGGUAGGCGGCCUUAACGGGUGGUCGCCCACACUGGGAUUGAGAUACGGCCCAGACUCCUACGGGAGGCAGCAGUCGAGAAUAGUCUACAAUGGUCGGAAGACUGAUAGUGCGACGCCGCGUGAACGAUGAAUCCCUUCGGGGUGUAAAGUUCUUUUAUAUGUGAGCAGUGCUUCUUAUAUUAACAGUAUGGGGAAGAGAUAUUAGCAUAUGAAUAAGCAACGGCUAACUCCGUGCCAGCAGCCGCGGUAAUA